UACGUAGGUGGCAAGCGUUGUCCGGAUUUAUUGGGUUUAAAGGGUGCGUAGGCGGCUUUGUAAGUCAGUGGUGAAAUAUGGCAGCUCAACUGUCAGGGUGCCAUUGAUACUGCAGAGCUUGAGUACAGAUGAGGUAGGCGGAAUUGACGGUGUAGCGGUGAAAUGCGUAGAUAUCGUUUGGAACGCCAAAGGUGAAAACAGACAGCUGGGAGUGUGCUGACGCUGAGACACGAAAGCCAGGGGAGCGAACGGG
RNAcentral lists this ribosomal RNA (253 nucleotides) under uncultured bacterium. RNAcentral describes it as "partial 16S ribosomal RNA". It matches the Rfam family "Bacterial small subunit ribosomal RNA", at positions 524 to 776 of the family's 1533-position model. The record is from RNAcentral.